ACCAUCUGUGGGAUUGAGGGGCCUUCCUAGCACCAGGGAUGGUUGGUGGCCACCCAGUGUGGCUGGUCCAUAGAGGUCCCUGCAGCUCCACAGCUCUGCAAGCGAAGCAUCACUCGGCAGAGGAGAGCCCUGCCGGCUGUGGAGAGACAUGUGACACUCAGAGCUCCAUGGUGAGUGAGUCAG
RNAcentral lists this long non-coding RNA (183 nucleotides) under Chinchilla lanigera (long-tailed chinchilla). RNAcentral describes it as "lncRNA (ENSCLAG00000023928.1)". The record is from RNAcentral. Lineage: Eukaryota; Metazoa; Chordata; Mammalia; Rodentia; Chinchillidae.